CAAAAUUCAGAGACUUAAUGAACAAGCCAGUGGGGAGAUUGUGAAAGCAGAACAGAAGUAUAACAAAUUCUGCCAACCAUUUUUUGGAAGAGGUCAAAAUUGAUUGCCCAAAUUUCAAAUUUUUGGGUAACAGCAUUUGUCAGCCAUCCACAAGUGUCUACAUUACUUGGGGAGGAAGACAAAGAGGCACUGUAUUAUUUGACGAGUUGAAGUGACAGAAUUUGGAGGUAUUAAAUCAGGUUACAGAAAGAUUUUUAUUUUGAUGAAAAUCUUUAGUUUGAAAAUAAAGUUCUCUCCAAGGAAUUUCAUCUGAAUGAGAGUGGUGAUCUAUUUUUAGAGUCCACUGAAGUCAAAUGCAAAUCUGGAAAGGAUAUAAUGAAAACGUUCCAGUCAAACGCAGAGUAAAGUCAGCAGGAAGAGGCAGCACGAAGAACCAGAGAGCUUCUUUACCUGGUUUACUGACCGUUCUGAUGCAGGUGUUGUUGAGUUGGGAGAGUUCAUCAAAGAUAAUACUUGGACAAAUCCAUUACAGUACUACUUGGUUUUCAAUAUGGAUGAUGAAGAAAGGGAAGGAGAUAAAUGAUGAAGAAGGAUGGGAAGAUAUUGAUAAAGAAAGGGGAUAAGGAUGAAGAUGAAGAAGAUGAAGAUGAUGAUGAAAGGGAGGAAAGAAAGGGGGUGAAGGAGAAAAUG
RNAcentral lists this long non-coding RNA (690 nucleotides) under Homo sapiens (human). Its description in RNAcentral is "non-protein coding lnc-AADACL2-6:1". The record is from RNAcentral. Lineage: Eukaryota; Metazoa; Chordata; Mammalia; Primates; Hominidae.